GACGUAGGGCGCGAGCGUUGUCCGGAUUUAUUGGGCGUAAAGAGCUCGUAGGCGGCUCGUUGCGUCGGCUGUGAAAACCCGCAGCUCAACUGUGGGCUUGCAGCUGAUACGGGCGGGCUGGAGUUCGGUAGGGGAGACUGGAAUUCCUGGUGUAGCGGUGAAAUGCGCAGAUAUCUGGAGGAACACCGGUGGCGAAGGCGGCAUCCUGGACCGGCAUUGACGCUGACGGCGCGAAAGCCAGGGGAGCAAAGCGGGG
RNAcentral lists this ribosomal RNA (256 nucleotides) under uncultured bacterium. RNAcentral describes it as "partial 16S ribosomal RNA". It matches the Rfam family "Bacterial small subunit ribosomal RNA", at positions 524 to 778 of the family's 1533-position model. The record is from RNAcentral.